GACGAACGCUGGCGGCGUGCUUAACACAUGCAAGUCGAACGGAAAGGCCCUGCUUUUGUGGGGUGCUCGAGUGGCGAACGGGUGAGUAACACGUGAGUAACCUGCCCUUGACUUUGGGAUAACUUCAGGAAACUGGGGCUAAUACCGGAUAGGAGCUCCUGCUGCAUGGUGGGGGUUGGAAAGUUUCGGCGGUUGGGGAUGGACUCGCGGCUUAUCAGCUUGUUGGUGGGGUAGUGGCUUACCAAGGCUUUGACGGGUAGCCGGCCUGAGAGGGUGACCGGCCACAUUGGGACUGAGAUACGGCCCAAACUCCUACGGGAGGCAACGGUGGGGGAUAUUGCACAAUGGGCGGAAGCCUGAUGCAGCAACGCCGCGUGCGGGAUGACGGCCUUCGGGUUGUAAACCGCUUUCGCCUGUGACGAAGCGUGAGUGACGGUAAUGGGUAAAGAAGCACCGGCUAACUACGUG
RNAcentral lists this ribosomal RNA (468 nucleotides) under uncultured bacterium. RNAcentral's name for it is "partial 16S ribosomal RNA". It matches the Rfam family "Bacterial small subunit ribosomal RNA", at positions 28 to 507 of the family's 1533-position model. The record is from RNAcentral.